AAGAAAAAACCACCGAGUUAUAUUUUCAAUCCAAGAGGGAGAAAAAAAAAAAAAAAACGUCGUUGUUUCAAAGCAAAAACCAGAUUCUCUUUUCUUCUCUUACGAGAAGAAGAAAACAAUGGCGCUAACUCACUCUUCUUCUUCUUCUUCUUAUCUAAAUCUUCUCCAAUUCUCUGUUAAAUCUUCUUCCCCGUCCGUACAUUAUAUUAUAUUCGGAUCUCCAUGGCAAAACGCUUCUCCUAUCUUGCUUCAAAAGACCGGAGUUCCUUUACUUCCGGUCGUAGUGAGACCGUCUUUUAAGAAGAUCAAGUGCUUCGCUAGAUCAUCCACGGAAGAAGAUCGUUUGAACGAGCCGGAAAGAUUGGCCGCUGAGAAUGUCGGUGAUGAUGACGAUGAUGGAGGGAGGGAAGAUCCGACACUGCAGCAACACCAGCGUUCUGUGGUUGCGACGCAGGGGAUCACCUCGUCUUCCAGUGAUUCUCUCACGCUUGGAAUUCGUGAGCCUGUCUAUGAGGUGGUAGAGGUGAAGGCAAGUGGAGUAGUAUCUACAAGGAAGAUAAACCGACGUCAGUUAUUGAAAUCUAGUGGCCUUCGUCCAAGAGAUAUCCGGAGUGUUGAUCCAUCAUUGUUUUUGACAAACUCAGCACCAUCUCUUCUGGUACGUGAGCAUGCCAUUCUACUUAAUCUGGGAUCAUUACGAGCAAUAGCAAUGAAAGAAUGUGUUCUUAUAUUUGACCAUAAUUGUAAAGGUGGAAAGGCUUUUAUGGACACAUUGUUGCCUCGACUGAAUGAUAUGAAUGGAGGGCCUUGUAUGCCAUUUGAGCUUGAGGUUGUUGAAGCAGCAUUACUUUCAUGGAUACAGCGCUUAGAGCAGAGACUAAUGGAUUUAGAACCUCGUGUACAAGCUCUGCUCGAAGAGUUGCCUAACAAAUUAACCGGUGACAUAUUGGAGCAACUUCGUAUAAGCAAACAGACCUUGGUUGAAUUGGGUUCAAGAGCAGGGGCUCUUAGACAAAUGCUGCUUGAUCUUUUGGAGGAUCCCCAUGAAAUACGUCGUAUAUGUAUUAUGGGAAGAAACUGUACUCUUAAAAAGGGAAAUGAUGACGUGGAAUGUUCUGUACCCUUGGAAAAGUUGAUCGCUGAAGAAGAGGAGGAAGAGAUUGAGAUGCUUUUGGAAAAUUAUCUUCAAAGAUGUGAAUCUUGCCAUGGUCAGGCAGAAAGGCUUCUUGAUUCUGCAAAAGAGAUGGAAGAUUCUAUUGCUGUCAACCUAAGCGCUAGAAGGCUUGAGGUAAGCAGAGUGGAAUUACUUCUUCAGGUUGGAGCAUUUUGUGUUGCAGUUGGUGCUCUAGUUGCAGGUAUAUUUGGCAUGAACUUGAGGUCCUAUCUGGAAGAACAUGUGUUUGCCUUCUGGCUAACCACAGCAGGGAUUUUUGUUGGUGCUGUUGUGGCGUUUUUUCUCAUGCAUUCAUAUCUCAGGACUAGGAAAAUACUUUAAUUUAGGAGUUAGGUGAAUUCGAAAGCAAAGAUUCCUGUCUCCAAAGUGCAUGAUGUGCUGUGAUUGUUAUAAUUAUAGUGGUAGGUAAUCUUUAGAAGAAUGAUUGUUUAGGCGGAUUGCAAAAGUUGUAGUUCUUUGAAGCUGCAGAUAGCAACGGUUGAUCAACUUGCAAUGCCUUUUCAGCAUGUAAAACAAGGACAUGAGAGCAAUAUUCCAGGCUCUACCAUUUCCUGGGCUAAAGACGUUUUACAAUUCUCUUACGAACGGCGAAGAACGUUCUCUUUUUUCCUACUCUUACUCUGUAUUACUACCAUUGUGGGACACUAUAACUCAACUUUCCACUAGCCACAGUUCAUUCUAUCAUUCAUGGAUUUCUCUCUUUUUCUUGUUGUUUGGGAGGAGAAAAAGAAAAAUGAAAAAU
Durio zibethinus is the source of this 1916-nucleotide non-coding RNA. The record is from RefSeq and is a predicted model, not a curated record. NCBI's taxonomy places the organism in Eukaryota, Viridiplantae, Streptophyta, Magnoliopsida, Malvales, Malvaceae.